CGCCCCCUGAAAAACCAUAGGGGGUCCAGCCUGCCCAGUGACACCAGUUCAACGGCCGCGGUAUCCUGACCGUGCGAAGGUAGCGUAAUCACUUGUCUUUUAAAUUAAGACUAGUAUGAAAGGCACCACGAGAAUCACACUGUCUCCUUUUUCUAAUCUGUGAAACUAAUCUUCCCGUGAAGAAGCGGGAAUUUUCACAUAAGACGAGAAGACCCUAUGGAGCUUCAGACAAAAUAAUGCUUUCCCCCCCCCCCAAUUUUCUUUAAAGAAAAACAUUUACUCGAUACCAAUUAUUAAGUCUUAGGUUGGGGCGACCACGGAGUAAAAAUUACCCUCCGUGCUGAACAGGACCUCCUUAAAUAAGAGCCACAGCUCUACGAAUCAAUAAAUUGACAAUAUUUGACCCAAUUAUCUUGAUCAACGAAACAAGUUACCCUAGGGAUAACAGCGCAAUCCACUUCAAGAGCCCUUAUCAACAAGUGGGUUUACGACCUCGAUGUUGGAUCAGGGUGUCCCAGUGGUGCAACCGCUACUAAAGGUUUGUUUGUUCAACAAUUAAAACCCUACGUGAUCUGAGU
This 578-nucleotide ribosomal RNA is filed under the name Ischnocnema parva. RNAcentral's name for it is "partial 16S ribosomal RNA". It matches the Rfam family "Bacterial large subunit ribosomal RNA", at positions 1817 to 2610 of the family's 2925-position model. The record is from RNAcentral. Lineage: Eukaryota; Metazoa; Chordata; Amphibia; Anura; Brachycephalidae.